Molecule: ribosomal RNA, 460 nt
Filed under: uncultured bacterium
Lineage: Bacteria
Description: partial 16S ribosomal RNA
Rfam family: Bacterial small subunit ribosomal RNA
Source: RNAcentral
CCUACGGGUGGCAGCAGUGAGGAAUAUUGGUCAAUGGGCGCAAGCCUGAACCAGCCAAGUCGCGUGAAGGAUGACGGCCCUAUGGGUUGUAAACUUCUUUUGUAAGGGAGUAAAGUCAGGUACGUGUGCCUUUUUGUAUGUACCUUAUGAAUAAGGAUCGGCUAACUCCGUGCCAGCAGCCGCGGUAAUACGGAGGAUUCGAGCGGUAUCCGGAUUUCUUGGGUUUAAAGGGGUCGUAGGCGGGAUGGUAAGUCAGCUGGGAAAGUUGGGGGGUCAACCAUAGAACUGCAGUUGAAACUGGCAGUCUUGAGUGGGCGAGAAGUAUGCGGAAUGCGUGGUGUAGCGGUGAAAUGCUUAGAUAUCACGAAGAACUCCGAUUGCGAAGGCAGCAUACCGGCGCGCAACUGACGCUGAUGCACGAAAGCGUGGGUAUCGAACAGGAUUAGAUACCCCAGUAGUC